GACGAACGCUGGCGGCGUGCCUAAUACAUGCAAGUAGAACGCUGAAGGAGGAGCUUGCUUCUCUGGAUGAGUUGCGAACGGGUGAGUAACGCGUAGGUAACCUGCCUGGUAGCGGGGGAUAACUAUUGGAAACGAUAGCUAAUACCGCAUAAUAGUAGUUGUUGCAUGACAACUGUUUGAAAGGUGCAAUUGCAUCACUACCAGAUGGACCUGCGUUGUAUUAGCUAGUUGGUGGGGUAACGGCUCACCAAGGCGACGAUACAUAGCCGACCUGAGAGGGUGAUCGGCCACACUGGGACUGAGACACGGCCCAGACUCCUACGGGAGGCAGCAGUAGGGAAUCUUCGGCAAUGGACGAAAGUCUGACCGAGCAACGCCGCGUGAGUGAAGAAGGUUUUCGGAUCGUAAAGCUCUGUUGUAAGAGAAGAACGAGUGUGAGAGUGGAAAGUUCAC
Molecule: ribosomal RNA, 453 nt
Filed under: Streptococcus mitis
Lineage: Bacteria; Bacillati; Bacillota; Bacilli; Lactobacillales; Streptococcaceae
Description: bacterial SSU rRNA
Rfam family: Bacterial small subunit ribosomal RNA
Source: RNAcentral